RNAcentral lists this ribosomal RNA (408 nucleotides) under Fusobacteriota bacterium. RNAcentral describes it as "Fusobacteria bacterium partial 16S ribosomal RNA". It matches the Rfam family "Bacterial small subunit ribosomal RNA", at positions 355 to 776 of the family's 1533-position model. The record is from RNAcentral. Lineage: Bacteria; Fusobacteriati; Fusobacteriota.
UGGGGAAUAUUGCACAAUGGACGGAAGUCUGAUGCAGCAACGCCGCGUGCGGGAUGACGGCCUUCGGGUUGUAAACCGCUUUUUCUCAUGACGAAGUUUUUUGACGGUAGUGGGGGAAGAAGCACCGGCUAACUACGUGCCAGCAGCCGCGGUGAUACGUAGGGUGCGAGCGUUGUCCGGAAUUAUUGGGCGUAAAGAGCGUGUAGGCGGUUUGUCGCGUCGAUAGUGCAAACUCAGUGCUUAACGCUGAGCCUGCUGUUGAUACGGGCAGACUAGAGGAAGGUAGGGGAGAAUGGAAUUCCCGGUGGAGCGGUGGAAUGCGCAGAUAUCGGGAGGAACACCGGUGGCGAAGGCGGUUCUCUGGGCCUUUCCUGACGCUGAGAAGCGAAAGCGUGGGGAGCGAACAGG